This is a non-coding RNA of Pelobates cultripes (western spadefoot toad), 836 nucleotides long. The record is from the annotation of a GenBank genome assembly. NCBI's taxonomy places the organism in Eukaryota, Metazoa, Chordata, Amphibia, Anura, Pelobatidae.
UCUCAAUAUAUAACAUUUAUAAUUAAAAAUAAUGGCAUCAAUACAUAUGAUUAGUUAAUCUAGUAGAAACAUUUAAAAUAUAAGUUAUACUAUGAAAUGAUGCUUAGACAGUAAAGUGAUUAAAUGCACUAGAGUGAAUUGGUGUGUAGUGAUUUUGGAAUCGGUUAAUAGUGUAAAAAUCCCAAUAUUAUGAAUAGAGGUAGGAACUAUUAGAAUAAUCUAUUAAGGAAAAAAAAAAAAAAAAGAGAAGAGAAGAUGAAGAAUUUAAAAUAUAUAUCAAGAACACUCAAUAAUAAUAAUCUUCUUGAUAUCGAAUUCUUCCAUACCAUCCAUAGAUGUAAAUCUGGUAGUUUCAGAUUCUUGGAAAGGGUUAUUCAUGCAUGACCAAUAUGAACUGUGAUACGAAAGGGGUUAUUUAUUUGAUCACAUGCCCAUGUUCAAAGCAGUAUAUAGGACGAACCAAAAGGGCAUUGAAGACAAGGAUGGCAGAACACAUAAGAAACAUCAGAAAGGGACUUCAAACCCAUAACCUCUCAAGACACUUCCAAGACUUUCAUGGAGGAGACCCUGUAGGAUUAAAAUUCUUACCCAUUGAACAAGUAGAUGUCCAUUGGAGAGGGGGCAAUAUAGAAAAAAACUUGGACCAAAUUGAAGCAAGGUGGAUUUUCCACCUAGAGACUCUGGUCCCUAAAGGACUUAAUAUAGACUUUAAAUUGAAUGCUUUUCUCUGAAGAUUAUUAUUAUUGAGUGUUCUUGAUAUAUAUUUUAAAUUCUUCAUCUUCUCUUCGCCAUCAUUAAUUAUAUAUGUCAUAUACACAUAUUGUUUAUACUCUAUA